AUCUCUUCGGUUGUAAGUCCAAGAACCCAAAAUAUGGAUAAAAAUAAAGGAAAGGCUAAAGUGGCCUAGAAGAAGGCGACAAGGAGACAUUGAUGGUGUGUGUGUGGUGGCUGAUAUGGAAGCUUGGGACCUUACUAGAAGAAUUUAGAAAUCGUACCUGCUAGUGUUUUUGUUACUGCUAGAGUAGAAUUUAUCUUGCAUUACUAAUUUCGUUAUCUUUCUGUUAUUUAGUUGGAUUAACUGUUUAUGCUGGGAACAUGUUCUUUUCCUUAUUUCUGGAUUAGUUUUCAAGUUUUGUGAAGUGAGAUCUGCUUCAAUAAGAAUCUGCCGUAUGGUUCAUCUUGACUUUUUCUGCUGUAGAGAUAGAUUCAUUUGCUGUAUUUGGUUUGUUUUAAUGAUUCUUUUGUUAUGGUUAA
This is a long non-coding RNA of Zingiber officinale, 416 nucleotides long. RefSeq lists it as uncharacterized. The record is from RefSeq and is a predicted model, not a curated record. Lineage: Eukaryota; Viridiplantae; Streptophyta; Magnoliopsida; Zingiberales; Zingiberaceae. The transcript has 2 exons.